Molecule: long non-coding RNA, 3821 nt
Organism: Hylaeus volcanicus
Lineage: Eukaryota; Metazoa; Arthropoda; Insecta; Hymenoptera; Colletidae
Exons: 3
Source: RefSeq, a predicted model, not a curated record
AGGAUACACCUCGUGCCUACGGCUUCGUCCUGGAAAGAUUUAAGGGCCGUAUGCCACGGGAAAUAAUUAGGACAGACGUGUUUGGCACGUGUCCGUGGACGUCGUAACACGCCACCAGAGAAUUACGAUUGAUCGCUUUUCGCCCGAGAGUGUCGUUAUUGGCGUCCUGUUCGACGAGAUCGAUGGACUUUUCAGCCGAAUUGGCUCCGAGGCUGCGGACAUGCCUCGACGAUUGCAGGAUUUUUAAAUUCCUCCAUUGUUUCGGUCGGAUCUGACCCGGCCUCUGGUUUCUACAAUUGGGCGCAAGAGUUUGCAACACGAUAAUAAUGGGUUAGGCGUGAGUUCCAACGACUUAGGUCAAUGGUUCCAUGCUGCGAGGCUGCAGAUCAUACGUGAAACGGUGGGCAAGCGUUGCGGAAAAAUACGGAAAAAUUGCCCAACGGAAUAUAUUUCGGUCACUGGUUCGCCAACUGUACCACUGCCUCUCGAACAGCAUUUUGCGUUUCGGAGAACGUAAGACAGGAUUCUAGACUCGAUACAAUUUUCUGUAGAGAGUUUUGUGUGAACUUACGAAUUCAGGCAAUGGCUGGAUCAGCUGGAGAAAUGAAGCGGCCCUCGGCGCGAGCGUGACGAGAAUGCUUCAGCGACGAUUCGCACGGCCGAUCAGCCCAAUAUUUCGCGGGCUCGCGAAAACUGGAGCGUCGACGGCGCUUCUUCCUUUUUCGCGCUUCCGCUUUCGCCGAGAUCGAUAAUUCAUGCACACUCGAUUGACGGGGGUGCCGCGGGUAGCCCUCCCUUAAAAAGUGGAGCAUCAGUCGUAGCUGCGCGACAGCAGAAAAUCUGAAAUCGAUAUACUCCGAAGGCCUCGCGAAACUCGCGUAUUUGUGCCCGCCUUCGGAACCUUGUCAGCAAGAUCAAAGCGAAAGAAAGAUUUCUGCCAUCGACGGGGCACCGCCGAGGCCUCUUUGAAUCUCGCAUCGUAUCGGAGCCGUCUCCGUCUCCGUCUCUUUAUCCGGAGGACGUUUCCGUUCUAUUUUUAUUUUUUUUCGACGCAAUUACGUGAUCGCUGGAAAUUUCAAGUGGGCGGCAGACGCGAUCGUUCCACGAAGUAGAAGCACAACACCCUCCAUUAUCUAUAUUAAUAAGAAGUCUGAAGAGAAUCGAUCCGAAUUUAUGGUACGUUAAGACCGAUGUAGUUUAUUAACGAAACUUUGUGGCUUUAUAUCGGGGCUAUAAGGCUGUAACAUACUCACAUUCUAUUAACAUAGAGAAUAAUUUUAUUACGAUAUAUAUAUUUAACAGCUCAUCGGUUCGAGAAUAAACGCCUAUUUUGCAUGCAUCAGCAACGUAUUAUAUUAGAUUCGAAUUAGAUUGCUGUGUAGCUUGCAAUCAAAUUAUACUGUAAUUAUGCAGAUGAACGAAACUAUUUCCUUAUACGGUUCUAAGCUAACUAUGCUUCUGAUUGCAAAUUCAAUACGCAUUAUAUUUGCGUCGCGUUCCCAUUCCUGUCACGUGUUUGUAGUCAAUGUGGCUCGUGUGUAACACGAAUGCAAGUUAUGUGCGACACGAGUGUACAAUUACUCAUGCAGUAAUACAUGAAGUUUCCCAUAAGACAUUUCAAGUAAACCAGUCAAUUUUUGUUUAUUCAACAAUUUUUUAUUGUGGAUUAUUUCCACAUAAAUUACACAUUUUUUACGACUACAUUAAUUGUACUACACUUUCGGCUAGUCAUCAAUUUUGUAAAUUCUUUUAAUUUCCUCUCGACUUAUAACUUUAAUUAAGCUCUUCCAACAAAGCUCAUCGUGAAUUAAUAUAAAAAUAGUAUAUCCUGAAGGUUCCAAGCAUAUACACUUCAAGUGGCCUAACUACAUAGUUAACCAGUUUGCAGAAUACUGUCUACUCGUAACAAUAAAUUUAUAUUACCCAUGAAUACACACUCAUCUACCGCGCCACUAGGUUAUGGCACGAUCGUGUAUAUCCUGAAAAAGUUUCAUAAAAUUUUUCCCGUGCGAUGGAAGUUAAUUGCAGUGCCGAACUUACAAACUCUCAGACCCCUCGGCUUUAUGAUUCUUAGCGUAGUUUAUCAGUAAAAUUAUUUGGAGUUCGAAAAUUAUCGACUCCUGGAGAACAUUUACCGAUACGAAGUACUCCAUAAUUAGCGCGAAAGUGUUUCUAUGAUCAUUGGAAUGAUAAAUUAACGAUCCGUAAAGUUUACUUCCAAUUCUUGAUAGGAGUUUAUUAAACAGCUAUACAGGGGGGUUCACAUAAAUCAGAACUUGUAAAUAACUUUGUUUCAAAGAUACACUAAAAUGGUAACGACAUAAUUGUUUACAUUCUUUGUUAUGAAGUUUACAUAAAUUAGACUUUUCAUCUUGUUUAAUAAUCGUAUAAAGUUGUACCUCGCAUUUUUACUAUUGUAGAUUCUUAUUGCUCUUCUAGUACAUGAAUUUUCAUCUAUUUUUUCUUCUUUCUAACCGAACACAUUAUUGUUUAAGAAAGUUAUUUAGGUUUGUUCCUGUCGAUCCACUUUUCCCGUCCGCUAAACAUAAUUAAUAACCCAAUUCACGCCAACUUCGCGACUAACGACGGUGAUGAAAAAAGCCUGUUGGUUCGAGGCAUUACUUCCGAAAAUAAUCUCGGCUGGCGGAGGAAGUAAUUCCGAAAAUAAGCGACGACGAGUCGGGGAAUAAAUCCGCGGACGUCGUGACCAGGUGCAUUUGAUCAAGUUCGUGGAAAGAUUGCGAGGCAAUUACACAUUCGUCGCGGAUUGCGUGCUCAUACGUUCCACGGGUAACGUGAUGUUUUGAUGUACAUCGUGGGGCUCGUAAGCGCAUUCACGGUUCGGGUGCAUGUCGCAGACAGCGCGUACCGAGGCAUUUACGAUGGAAAGUGAUAGCGGUCAGCAGUUAUGCGCGGCCAAUGCAAGCGAUCCAGGUCAAAGUUAUUCCCAUCGUGGCAGUAAACUAUAAAGCAGUCGGCCGAUAUGAGUCUCGGAACCCUACUUUCGUCACCCUUUUUGUGUCACGAAACGACCCGCUUUUAAAUCCGAAGAGGCGAUAUCAACACCCCUCCUUUGCAUUUUCACCUAGACGCGUCGGAAAAUUCAAAGUUUAAAUACAAUGGAACCUUGAUAAUUCGAAUUAAUCGGGAGACAUGUUCAAACAGGGAAUUUUUGGGUAGGAGAAUAUUUUGUGUGUUGUAAUGUUACUGGUCUUCGUUUAUGCAAUUGAAAAAAUAGAAAGUGAAUAUUGAUAAUGACAGUGAUAAAUACUGAAAUUAUACAUAACUUUUGAACUUAUGAUAGAACUAGAAAGUGAUAUUCCGAUUUCUCUACAUUCUGUGAAGCAACGAAGAAGUGAACGUGAAACAAAACACUGAAAAACGAAACUACGUUUACUUUAUUAAUCGCAACCAAUCUUCGAUUGAUUGAGCAUCGGCAGUUUACUGUAAUACCUAUGACCCAGCGAAAUCGAAAGAUCUUUAAUAAAUUAUCUUUAAUAAGAUAAAUUGAAAUUUUUUAGCGUUCGUAUUGUUGGAAGCUUCCAUUGCCAGCCUUAGUUCCAAAGAGAUUUAAUUUCAGAUUGGAAAUAACUCAAUUACGGAAGUAAAUCGAGGAAACUUUCAGGACCCCGUUGAGAAUUAUCGUAACUGUGACAGAGACAUGGUUCUGCAGCGAAUAAUGUUAUCGUGGUACAUUCUACGAGUUUCUGGAGAAUAAAGGAAAAUGGAGAAAUAUUCUUACAUGACCAGUUGGGACAGACGUGACUCGAAUUUUCGUUGGAGCAUCAAAAUUAUUGGCCGAUUUCUAGAGAGUACAUUAC